This 818-nucleotide ribosomal RNA is filed under the name Rhizophagus irregularis. RNAcentral's name for it is "eukaryotic LSU rRNA". It matches the Rfam family "Eukaryotic large subunit ribosomal RNA", at positions 1 to 668 of the family's 3401-position model. The record is from RNAcentral. Lineage: Eukaryota; Fungi; Glomeromycota; Glomeromycetes; Glomerales; Glomeraceae.
GACCUCAAAUCAGGUAAGGACACCCGCUGAACUUAAGCAUAUCAAUAAGCGGAGGAAAAGAAAAUAACAAUGAUUCCCCUAGUAACUGCGAGUGAAGAGGGACAAGCUCAAAUUUUAAAUCCAUCGGGUUUUACCUGAUCGAGUUGUAAUUUGAAGAAGCGUUUUCUGCGUAUUUGAUCAGCCUAAGUCCUAUUGAAUGAGGCAUCACGGAGGGUGAUAAUCCCGUCCGGUUGAUCAUUUGCGUUUUACGAUACGCUUUCUAAGAGUCAAGUUGUUUGGGAUUGCAGCUUAAAAUGGGAGGUAAAUUUCUCCUAAGGCUAAAUAACGGCGAGAGACCGAUAGCGAACAAGUACCGUGAGGGAAAGAUGAAAAGAACUUUGAAAAGAGAGUUAAACAGUACGUGAAAUUGUUGAAAGGGAAACGAUUGAAGCCAGUCGUACCUUCGGGUAAUCAGCCUUUCGGGUGCGAUUCUGUGGAGUUUGAGGAGCUUUAACACCUUCAUGCUUUGCAUAUUCGUGCUCUUGGGUGUACUUGCCCGUGUGGUUGGUUAACAUCAAUUUCGGGCACCAUAAAAUGGCUGGAGGAAUGUAGCUUCGAUCUUGUAUUGAAGUGUUAUAGCCUUCGGUAGAUGUGGUGAUCGAGAUUGAGGAUUGCAACGGAUACCUUUCGGGGCUACCUGUCUGAUCUCUGAUCGUUGCUUUGGUGCUGAAAGCGUGCUUAUAGUUAUCAAAGUCGAUGGUUAAUAGGUUAGAAUGGGUUAAAUUCGUUAAGGAUGUUGACGUAAUGGCUUUAAACGACCCGUCUUGAAACACGGACCA